UGGAAAAGCAAAUAUAUAAUCUCUAUUAGUACCCUUGAACAAUUAAUAUUAUUUAUUCAAAUAAUUAAACGUAAGUGUUUUUGUGGCCAUUUUCACCUAAUAUCCUGGAUGCACCCACCUGUGUAUAGCAAUAGCAGAUCGUGAAAUUCCAGGGAACCGCGUGACGUGAGUUGAUGGCGGAUAUGGUGGGCAAGCUGUAUUUUAGCAAAAAAACGCCAUUAUUAUUAUUAUGAUUACAAUGUAUAUUCGUGAUGUACCGUACGUAUCAACAAAACGAGGUGUGCACGGCAUUGUGGAAAUAGACUCGAACGAACGCCGGCUUGUUUCGAAAAGGAUUUUUGAUGUGAUGAGAUGCACCACCUGCAUAGACAAUGCAAUGCCAGAGUGACCACAUGGAGUAACGGCGGACAUGGUCGAUAAACUGUAUUCUAGCAGAAACCUCCAUAACUUGCUGUGUUCAUAGGGUAUUUCCGUGAUGUAGGCAUAUAUAUCAACAAAACU
Long non-coding RNA from Anneissia japonica, 501 nucleotides. RefSeq lists it as uncharacterized. NCBI's taxonomy places the organism in Eukaryota, Metazoa, Echinodermata, Crinoidea, Comatulida, Comatulidae. The transcript is spliced from 3 exons. The record is from RefSeq and is a predicted model, not a curated record.